GCUUAACACAUGCAAGUCGAACGGGCACCUUCGGGUGUCAGUGGCAGACGGGUGAGUAACACGUGGGAACGUACCCUUCGGUUCGGAAUAACUCAGGGAAACUUGAGCUAAUACCGGAUACGCCCUUUUGGGGAAAGGUUUACUGCCGAAGGAUCGGCCCGCGUCUGAUUAGCUAGUUGGUGGGGUAAUGGCCUACCAAGCCGACGAUCCAUAGCUGGUUUGAGAGGAUGAUCAGCAACACUGGGACUGAGACACGGCCC
RNAcentral lists this ribosomal RNA (260 nucleotides) under Synchroma pusillum. Its description in RNAcentral is "partial Bacterial small subunit ribosomal RNA". It matches the Rfam family "Bacterial small subunit ribosomal RNA", at positions 46 to 332 of the family's 1533-position model. Lineage: Eukaryota; Synchromophyceae; Synchromales; Synchromaceae. The record is from RNAcentral.